GCGCCGGUGAGAGCGGAGCGGAACGCGAAGCGGGGCUGGCGACAGGACCUAGACAAGAGAAUAGUUUAGAAGCCAGUCUUGAGGGACUCGUCAAUAAAAUGAUGAAUCCGGUUAACUGGGUUCGGGAAAACUUACGAACUUGGAAGUCUUGCCUAAUGGGUGAGAUUUCAAAUUAAGAGUUCAACCAAAAUGGAGAGUUUGAUCCUGGCUCAGGAUGAACGCUGGCGGCGUGCUUAACACAUGCAAGUCGAACGGGCUCUUCGGAGCUAGUGGCGGACGGGUGAGUAACGCGUGAGAAUCUGCCUACAGGACGGGGACAACAGUUGGAAACGACUGCUAAUACCCGAUGUGCCGAGAGGUGAAACAUUUAUGGCCUGUAGAUGAGCUCGCGUCUGAUUAGCUAGUUGGUGGGGUAAGGGCCUACCAAGGCGACGAUCAGUAGCUGGUCUGAGAGGAUGAUCAGCCACACUGGGACUGAGACACGGCCCAGACUCCUACGGGAGGCAGCAGUGGGGAAUUUUCCGCAAUGGGCGCAAGCGACGGAGCAACGCCGCGUGGGGGAGGAAGGUUUUUGGACUGUAAACCCCUUUUCUCAGGGAAGAAGAAAGUGACGGUACCUGAGGAAUAAGCCUCGGCUAAUUCCGUGCCAGCAGCCGCGGUAAUACGGGAGAGGCAAGCGUUAUCCGGAAUUAUUGGGCGUAAAGCGCCUGCAGGCGGUUAAUCAAGUCUGUUGUCAAAGCGUGGGGCUCAACCUCAUACAGGCAAUGGAAACUGAUUGACUAGAGUAUGGUAGGGGUAGCGGGAAUUCCAGGUGUAGCGGUGAAAUGCGUAGAUAUCUGGAAGAACACCAGCGGCGAAAGCGCGCUACUGGGCCAUAACUGACGCUCAUGGACGAAAGCUAGGGGAGCGAAAGGGAUUAGAUACCCCUGUAGUCCUAGCCGUAAACGAUGAACACUAGGUGUUGCGUGAAUCGACCCGCGCAGUGCCGUAGCCAACGCGUUAAGUGUUCCGCCUGGGGAGUACGCACGCAAGUUGGAAACUCAAAGGAAUUGACGGGGGCCCGCACAAGCGGUGGAGUAUGUGGUUUAAUUCGAUGCAACGCGAAGAACCUUACCAGGGUUUGACAUCCCCCGAAUCUCUUGGAAACGAGAGAGUGCCUUCGGGAGCGGGGAGACAGGUGGUGCAUGGCUGUCGUCAGCUCGUGUCGUGAGAUGUUGGGUUAAGUCCCGCAACGAGCGCAACCCACGUUUUUAGUUGCCAUCAUUCAGUUGGGCACUCUAGAGAAACUGCCGGUGACAAACCGGAGGAAGGUGUGGACGACGUCAAGUCAUCAUGCCCCUUACAUCCUGGGCUACACACGUACUACAAUGCUCCGGACAGCGAGACGCGAAGCCGCGAGGUGAAGCAAAUCUCCCAAACCGGGGCUCAGUUCAGAUUGCAGGCUGCAACUCGCCUGCAUGAAGGCGGAAUCGCUAGUAAUCGCAGGUCAGCAUACUGCGGUGAAUACGUUCCCGGGCCUUGUACACACCGCCCGUCACACCAUGGAAGUUGGCCAUGCCCGAAGUCGUUACCCUAACCGUUCGCGGAGGGGGGCGCCGAAGGUAGGGCUGAUGACUGGGGUGAAGUCGUAACAAGGUAGCCGUACCGGAAGGUGUGGCUGGAUCACCUCCUUU
RNAcentral lists this ribosomal RNA (1673 nucleotides) under Synechococcus elongatus PCC 6301. Its description in RNAcentral is "partial precursor RNA". The stretch from base 187 to 1673 matches the Rfam family "Bacterial small subunit ribosomal RNA". The record is from RNAcentral. Lineage: Bacteria; Bacillati; Cyanobacteriota; Cyanophyceae; Synechococcales; Synechococcaceae.